UUUAACGCUGGCGGCAGGCCUAACACAUGCAAGUCGAGCGGAUGAAGGGAGCUUGCUCCUGGAUUCAGCGGCGGACGGGUGAGUAAUGCCUAGGAAUCUGCCUGGUAGUGGGGGAUAACGUCCGGAAACGGGCGCUAAUACCGCAUACGUCCUGAGGGAGAAAGUGGGGGAUCUUCGGACCUCACGCUAUCAGAUGAGCCUAGGUCGGAUUAGCUAGUUGGUGGGGUAAAGGCCUACCAAGGCGACGAUCCGUAACUGGUCUGAGGGGAUGAUCAGUCACACUGGAACUGAGACACGGUCCAGACUCCUACGGGAGGCAGCAGUGGGGAAUAUUGGACAAUGGGCGAAAGCCUGAUCCAGCCAUGCCGCGUGUGUGAAGAAGGUCUUCGGAUUGUAAAGCACUUUAAGUUGGGAGGAAGGGCAGUAAGUUAAUACCUUGCUGUUUUGACGUUACCAACAGAAUAAGCACCGGCUAACUUCGUG
This 483-nucleotide ribosomal RNA is filed under the name uncultured bacterium. RNAcentral's name for it is "partial 16S ribosomal RNA". It matches the Rfam family "Bacterial small subunit ribosomal RNA", at positions 32 to 507 of the family's 1533-position model. The record is from RNAcentral.